This 836-nucleotide ribosomal RNA is filed under the name uncultured bacterium. RNAcentral describes it as "bacterial SSU rRNA". It matches the Rfam family "Bacterial small subunit ribosomal RNA", at positions 1 to 836 of the family's 1533-position model. The record is from RNAcentral.
CUAUAGGGGUUUGAUCAUGGCUCAGAUUGAACGCUGGCGGCAUGCCUUACACAUGCAAGUCGAACGGCAGCACGGGAGCAAUCCUGGUGGCGAGUGGCGAACGGGUGAGUAAUACAUCGGAACGUGCCCAGUAGUGGGGGAUAACCCGGCGAAAGCCGGACUAAUACCGCAUACGACCUACGGGUGAAAGCAGGGGAUCGCAAGACCUUGCGCUAUCGGAGCGGCCGAUGUCAGAUUAGCUUGUUGGCGGGGUAAAAGCCCACCAAGGCGACGAUCUGUAGCUGGUCUGAGAGGACGACCAGCCACACUGGGACUGAGACACGGCCCAGACUCCUACGGGAGGCAGCAGUGGGGAAUUUUGGACAAUGGGCGCAAGCCUGAUCCAGCAAUGCCGCGUGUGUGAAGAAGGCCUUCGGGUUGUAAAGCACUUUUGUCCGGAAAGAAAACUUUUGCCCUAAUACGGUGAGAGGAUGACGGUACCGGAAGAAUAAGCACCGGCUAACUACGUGCCAGCAGCCGCGGUAAUACGUAGGGUGCGAGCGUUAAUCGGAAUUACUGGGCGUAAAGCGUGCGCAGGCGGUCUGUUAAGACAGAUGUGAAAUCCCCGGGCUUAACCUGGGAACUGCAUUUGUGACUGGCAGGCUAGAGUAUGGCAGAGGGGGGUAGAAUUCCACGUGUAGCAGUGAAAUGCGUAGAGAUGUGGAGGAAUACCGAUGGCGAAGGCAGCCCCCUGGGCCAAUACUGACGCUCAUGCACGAAAGCGUGGGGAGCAAACAGAUUAGAUACCCUGGUAGUCCACGCCCUAACGAUGUCAACUAGUUGUUGGGGAUUCAUUU